Epinephelus lanceolatus (giant grouper) is the source of this 250-nucleotide non-coding RNA. NCBI's taxonomy places the organism in Eukaryota, Metazoa, Chordata, Actinopteri, Perciformes, Serranidae. The record is from RefSeq and is a predicted model, not a curated record.
AGUGUCAUAAGAAGUACAUCCCUGUAUGCGGGUCGAACGGAGACACGUACCAGAACGAGUGUUUCUUGAGAAGAGCCGCCUGCAAGAAACAGAGAGCUAUCACCAUCAUGUCAGAGGGACCCUGUUACCACGAUGGUGCUUCAGGAUCUGGUGAUGGAGAUGAUGAGGGCUCGGGUCGCGGUAAAAAGGCCUCGAAAUGUGGAAACUGCAAGUUUGGAGCCGAAUGUGACGAAGACUCUGAAGACAUGCU